This is a long non-coding RNA of Scylla paramamosain (green mud crab), 1090 nucleotides long. RefSeq lists it as uncharacterized. Lineage: Eukaryota; Metazoa; Arthropoda; Malacostraca; Decapoda; Portunidae. The transcript is spliced from 2 exons. The record is from RefSeq and is a predicted model, not a curated record.
GUGAAUCUGAAGAUAAAAAUUGAAGUAUUUGGUAUUAAGUCCCUGAGUAAAUCUGGCAACCCUGCCCCUGGCCUCAGUGUGGUUGCUAUGCCUGGCAACGCAAGAACUGGCCUGGCGCAGCAGGGGCGGGGCUUGGCUAAACUUGACCUUCCCUCCCUUGCAGAACUUGGAGCAAGCACUUAGCCUCUCACACACACACACACUUAAACAUCAAUCAGCACCUGGAUCAAGUUCCAAUGACUUUUCUCCCACUAGAAUUCCCUUCCUCACCCGCCUAUUCUUCAUCCCAUCCCCACUUCCAAGCUCCCCCUUGUCCUAUAUUGUCUUUCCUUUUACUUUCCAAGGGCCAGAGACUGACCAGAGGGUUUGUCAACAGCUUUCAAAGAUGUGGGGCAAUUAGGUGUGUAGGAGAGAGUACUUGCUUUGCUUGGACCAAACUGUCUGACUGAUGAUCACAAAGUGAGGGCAGGAGUGCUUUCUCUUCUCCAUCCAGUUCCAGGGGCCUAGAGUGGUGUGCACUAACCAUUCUAUGACACUGACCACACCUACCUUCAAACACUCAACUGCACAUCCAUCCAUACCUUGUGCUUUUCCACUUUUCAUCUCCCUUACUGCUGCUCACAUGUCCACCUUCAUUAUACAUGUCUCAUUUGACUUCCUUAGUACAUUAAUAUCUCUCUCAAAUAACCGAAUCUCAGGGUCUCUUUCCUGCUUCAUACUCACCAGUUUCUUAAAAAACCCUUCAUCCCAUCUGUUUUCACCUGUUCCUCACUACCAAAUGGUGCUUUUCUUAUUUUCUUUGUUUUUUUCCAAAAUAUUUUCUUAUUCUCUUGAACAUUCUUUGAUAACUCUCCCCCAUCUUUCAUCUCUCCUUUAGCAUCACACACAACUCUUUUUGCUUGUAUUCAGCUUUCCUUGCAUCUCCCAUAUGACUUUCAUUCCUUCCAUUCAAUCCUAAAUUUUAUUCUCUACAGCCACCUUAGCCUGUCCACACCCACACCAGCCUUAACAAUACAAAAGUGUAUAAUACACAUCAAUAUCUAUGUGUGUCACAGUCAGUAAGAAGAAAUAAAACAAUGCAAAAAAUCAA